This 500-nucleotide ribosomal RNA is filed under the name uncultured bacterium. Its description in RNAcentral is "partial 16S ribosomal RNA". It matches the Rfam family "Bacterial small subunit ribosomal RNA", at positions 30 to 523 of the family's 1533-position model. The record is from RNAcentral.
AUUGAACGCUGGCGGCAUGCUUUACACAUGCAAGUCGAACGGCAGCGCGGGCUUCGGCCUGGCGGCGAGUGGCGAACGGGUGAGUAAUAUAUCGGAACGUACCCAGGAGUGGGGGAUAACGUAGCGAAAGUUACGCUAAUACCGCAUACGUCCUAAGGGAGAAAGCGGGGGAUCGCAAGACCUCGUGCUCAUGGAGCGGCCGAUAUCUGAUUAGCUAGUUGGUGGGGUAAAGGCUCACCAAGGCAACGAUCAGUAGCUGGUCUGAGAGGACGACCAGCCACACUGGAACUGAGACACGGUCCAUACUCCUACGGGAGGCAGCAGUGGGGAAUUUUGGACAAUGGGGGCAACCCUGAUCCAGCAAUGCCGCGUGAGUGAAGAAGGCCUUCGGGUUGUAAAGCUCUUUUGUCAGGGAAGAAACGGUUUUGGCUAAUAUCCGAAACUAAUGACGGUACCUGAAGAAUAAGCACCGGCUAACUACGUGCCAGCCGCCGCCGUAA